Molecule: non-coding RNA, 1033 nt
Organism: Chlorocebus sabaeus (green monkey)
Lineage: Eukaryota; Metazoa; Chordata; Mammalia; Primates; Cercopithecidae
Source: RefSeq, a predicted model, not a curated record
CCAAAAUGUACAAGAUCUCGCGAGACGCAGUAAGGCACCGGUUCGAACUGGGGCGGGCCACUGCCAGGAAAGCACCGCCCCUGAAUGCUUAUACCAGUGGUUGGAAGAGGAAAUGGAAUUCCCCGGACUGCUAGCCAAAUAUACUAAAAGCACAGGACUAGGCAUGAAGGUGGAGGGAGGAACCCCAGGUUUGUUAUUGCUUCCCAUUUGUUUGAUACUGGCCUGGUUAUUUUCUGACCCCGUUUCUUCACCGCCAAAUACCCCUUGAUUUGCUACUGGUACCUGGAAGAGAUGUAACACCCGACCAUGGGACAUCAAGUGACUGUGUGAAUCAAACUGCCCAUCAUGAAUUGUUGUUAUUUGACUCAACCAAACUGUACAACUGGAUGAGCACAGGAGCAGUGCACUACAUAUGGGACUGGAACCAUGAAUGAGCAGGUGACUCAGACUCCUAUAGUACCUGCCUCUAAUCCUUCAGUACUUCUCCCUCAACCCACAUAAACUGUCAUCAUAAGGAGUUCCCUCUGAUCAGUUAAUGAAGAGAAAAAAGUAUGGAUAUUGUGGAUAUCCAAACAUCUCUCUGGCCAUUGGACCCCUAGAAACCUGUGACAAGUCCUGGAAGUUUUUCAAGGUUCAUCUUGUACCUUCUAGCAUGCGUAUGUCUUACCAAAGCAUGUAGAAUGCUGCCUACUUCUGCUCAUCAGUUUCAUUUAAUAUAAUUUCAUUACUCUAAUAAAUCAGUGUGAUGUUCUAUGGAAUAGCAAGACCAUCAAGGUCCCUUCAUACAGUAUAGAGAACAGGAGAGUUGAUGUAGCCUGAGACAAGACAGUAAGGACUUACUGUUGUUCCUCCUAUUUAAAUGUAGUCUGUUUCUGAUUCUCCUUAUAAUUAGAAUUGGGGUGGGGGGACAUUUCCAGAUCAAUAUCAGUAUCAUGUCAACAUGUAUAUUAAUUUCUUCCAAAGAAGAUACCACACCUAGAACAGCAACCAUAAUUGGCAUCCCUACCUAAUUAAAGUUUGCAGUCCACUGUCA